RNAcentral lists this ribosomal RNA (460 nucleotides) under uncultured bacterium. Its description in RNAcentral is "partial 16S ribosomal RNA". It matches the Rfam family "Bacterial small subunit ribosomal RNA", at positions 338 to 795 of the family's 1533-position model. The record is from RNAcentral.
CCUACGUGAGGCAGCAGUUAGGAAUAUUGGUCAAUGGGCUGGAGCCUGAACCAGCCAAGUCGCGUUAGGGAAGACUGUCCUAUGGAUUGUCAACCUCUUUAGGCUGGGAGCCAUGCCGGGCACGCGUGCCCGGAGGGAGAGUACCCGCAGAAUAAGCAUCGGCGAACUCCGUGCCAGCAGCCGCGGUAAUACGGAGGAUGCGAGCGUUCUCCGGAUUUAUGGGGUUUAAAGGGUGCGUAGGCGGAUUUUUAAGUCAGCGGUAAAAUUUCCGGGCUCAACCCGGGCCGGCCGUUGAAACUGGGGAUCUUGAGUGGGCGAGAAGGAUGCGGAAUGCGUGGUGGAGCGGUGAAAUGCAUAGAUAACACGCAGAACUCCGAUUGCGAAGGCAGCAUACCGGCGCCCGACUGACGCUGAGGCACGAAAGCGUGGGGAUCGAACAGGAUUAGAUACCCUAGUAGUC